This 378-nucleotide ribosomal RNA is filed under the name uncultured eukaryote. RNAcentral describes it as "partial 18S ribosomal RNA". It matches the Rfam family "Eukaryotic small subunit ribosomal RNA", at positions 592 to 976 of the family's 1831-position model. The record is from RNAcentral.
CAAUUGCGUAUAUUUAAGUUGUUGCAGUUAAAAAGCUCGUAGUUGGAUUUCGGGUGGGACGCAGCGGUCUCGCAUUGCGUUUGUACUGCUGCAGCCCUCCUUCUUGCCGGGGGCGGCCUCUCGGACUUCACUGUCUGGGGGUCAGAAUCGGCGAUGUUACUUUGAGUAAAUUAGAGUGUUCAAAGCAAGCUUACGCUCUGAAUAUAAUAGCAUGGGAUAACACGACAGGACUCUGGCCUAUCGUGUUGGUCUAUAGGACCAGAGUAAUGAUUAAGAGGGACAGUCGGGGGCAUUCGUAUUCCGUUGUCAGAGGUGAAAUUCUUGGAUUUACGGAAGACGAACAUCUGCGAAAGCAUUUGCCAAGGAUGUUUUCAUUGA